UGGGGGCAGGGGGGACUUGAACCCCCACGACCGUUUAAGGUCAACGGAUUUUAAGUCCGUAGCGUCUACCGAUUCCGCCACACCCCC
RNAcentral lists this transfer RNA (87 nucleotides) under Trichormus variabilis NTMVK01. Its description in RNAcentral is "tRNA-Leu". The record is from RNAcentral. Lineage: Bacteria; Bacillati; Cyanobacteriota; Cyanophyceae; Nostocales; Nostocaceae.